UGAGGAAUUUUGCGCAAUGGGGGUAACCCUGACGCAGCAACGCCGCGUGAGUGAAGAAGGCCUUCGGGUCGUAAAGCUCUGUCAAGUGGGAAGAACCCGCAUCAGGUCAACAGGCUGAUGCGCUGACGGUACCACUGAAGGAAGCACCGGCUAACUCCGUGCCAGCAGCCGCGGUAAUACGGAGGGUGCAAGCGUUAUUCGGAAUUACUGGGCGUAAAGGGCGCGCAGGCGGCUGGAUAAGUCAGUAGUGAAAGCCCGGGGCUCAACCCCGGAAGUGCUGCUGAAACUGUUUAGCUUGAGUAUGGUAGAGGGAAGUGGAAUUCCUGGUGUAGCGGUGAAAUGCGUAGAUAUCAGGAGGAACACCGGUGGCGAAGGCGGCUUCCUGGACCAAUACUGACGCUGAGGCGCGAAGGCGUGGGUAGCAAACA
RNAcentral lists this ribosomal RNA (428 nucleotides) under uncultured bacterium. RNAcentral describes it as "bacterial SSU rRNA". It matches the Rfam family "Bacterial small subunit ribosomal RNA", at positions 355 to 774 of the family's 1533-position model. The record is from RNAcentral.